Molecule: transfer RNA, 75 nt
Filed under: Myxococcales bacterium
Lineage: Bacteria; Pseudomonadati; Myxococcota; Myxococcia; Myxococcales
Also listed under: 2 other names
Description: tRNA-Cys
Rfam family: tRNA
About the family: Transfer RNA (tRNA) molecules are approximately 80 nucleotides in length.
Source: RNAcentral
GGCGCCGUAGCCAAGUGGUAAGGCAGAGGUUUGCAAAACCUCCAUUCGUCAGUUCGAUCCUGACCGGCGCCUCCA